Long non-coding RNA from Gordionus sp. m RMFG-2023, 499 nucleotides. RefSeq lists it as uncharacterized. NCBI's taxonomy places the organism in Eukaryota, Metazoa, Nematomorpha, Gordioida, Chordodea, Parachordodidae. The transcript has 3 exons. The record is from RefSeq and is a predicted model, not a curated record.
UGAACUCUGUACUUUAACGAAUAAUUUACUCGAAGUUGGUUUCGCGUCGCUGGCUAUUUCGCUAGUAGAAGAGAUCGUCGUAAAGUUUGACAGAUCUUCCUCGCUCUCUUCCGCGCUGGCUUUCCGAGGCGUGGGAUUUCUGGCGCCUUCCCUGACGGAUAAGGUUGAAAUUACGUCUUUGAUGUCCAAUUCUGGCGCGUAUAUGCUGGUGUUCGAUACGCAACUCGACAUGUCAAUCGAUUUAUCGACAGUUAGGAAAUUACCUGCGGGAUUCACAGCUGGACCGCUAUUAUUUCUCGCGAUCGGGCUAUGUAGGUUCUCGCGAACAACACACUUGAAUUCAUUCGCGGGCGGAAUAUUUAGUUUGGGAGGAGGGGGCGAUUUCUUGUAACGCGUUUCUUUGGGCGAAUUCCUAUCCAUCUCGUGAUUGUAAUGGUAAACGAAAGAGGGGAUUACUCUUUUAUCUAAAAAAAAGAAAAAUGCAGUGUCGUUAACACCC